ACUACAAACCGUGCUAUCGUUCCUUUGGCUUGUCUGAAGGGAAGGAAAGUCCGGACAGCGUAGAGCAACACACCACCUAACGGGUGGGCUCCGGCUUGCCGGAGACAGAGAGUGCCACAGAAAAUUACCGCCCUGUUUCGGCGGGGUAAGGGUGAAAAUGUGGGGUAAGAGCCCACGGUGCAGGCAGGUAACUGUUUGUGCGGGUAAACCUUGUGUGCUGAAAUGCCAUGUAUACGGACGCCUGAGGGCUGCUCGUCCGAUGUCCGAGGGUAGGCAGAUACAGGGGGCGCGCGAGCGUCACCGCAGAUAAAUGAUAGCAACCCUGGCUUGCCAGGGGACAGAAUCCGGCUUACAGGUUUGUAGUUUUU
RNAcentral lists this RNase P RNA (368 nucleotides) under Chitinophaga varians. Its description in RNAcentral is "RNase P RNA component class A". It matches the Rfam family "Bacterial RNase P class A". Rfam says of the family: Ribonuclease P (RNase P) is a ubiquitous endoribonuclease, found in archaea, bacteria and eukarya as well as chloroplasts and mitochondria. Its best characterised activity is the generation of mature 5'-ends of tRNAs by cleaving the 5'-leader elements of precursor-tRNAs. The record is from RNAcentral. Lineage: Bacteria; Pseudomonadati; Bacteroidota; Chitinophagia; Chitinophagales; Chitinophagaceae.